This is a long non-coding RNA of Macaca fascicularis (crab-eating macaque), 1591 nucleotides long. The record is from Ensembl. NCBI's taxonomy places the organism in Eukaryota, Metazoa, Chordata, Mammalia, Primates, Cercopithecidae.
GGUUGGAGCCUCAGCAUGCCUAAGCCAGCCUCCUGGGGGAGCUGGGACUGGCUCCUGGGCUCAGGUUGCUGCCUCGUCUCGCCUCAGCCCAUCCCUUUGCCCACACCUCGAGGUGCCAGCCCAGGUUACUAGAGGCAGGAGUGGCACAGAGGCAGUCCGAAACCCCAUGGACACUUACUUGGUGGCACAGCCUCCUCUGAGAGUUUCUACAAGCAAGGGCCCUGUGAGUUCCACCACCAAUCCCGAGGCUUGUGAGGAAACCUGGGGCUGGAUUCCAGACUGUGCAGUGUGGGAGAGUCUCAGAGAACUCCAGAGGGUGACACUCAUGCCCGAGAAGGAGACGUUGCCAAGUCUGCAGAGCUGGGCCUGGGAGCCAGGGCAGCAACAUGAUUUAGCGACACAGAAAAUAAGAUUUCUGCCAAGAGCCACACCACCCUGAUCUCAGCAGGUCUCAGAAGCUCAGCGGGGUCUGGCCAGGUUGGUACUUGGAUGGGAGACUGAGACUAUCAGGGUUAAAAAAAAAUCCAGUUUCUCCCUGCUCUAAACCCCUGCUCUUCAUUGCCUGGCCAUUGCCUCAGGACCCAUUCAGAGGACUAGAAACCUCUGAAUGAGUCUCAGCCUCUCCCUUGCUUGCUCCUAAGGAGGGCUGGGUGUUAGCCAGCCAGGUCUGGGGUGCAGGACAGACAGGCAGGGUGGGCGGAGACAGGAAGGGAAGGAGGUUCCUGCUUCUUGGAUCAGCUUCUGAGCUGUCUUUUGUUUUGAAUAAUUCAGGUAAUGGGUAAACAGGGAGAAAACUUUUCAGUCCAUGUAAAAUGCUGAUAAAGCACAGACAGAGGAUGAAAAUAGGAAAGAUUCAAAAGUUGGAAGUGAUGUGAAUGUUUCCCAUUUCAAGUGAAAGGCUACCGAGUUUUGGAAGAAGAAGAAAAUAAAUGAAAGAUAAUUUUAAGAAGUGUUGUUCUGGUUUUUAAAUGGAAUUCCCUUUAGCAUUCUUUCAGACACUUGAGUGAAAACUGAAAUUAACCACUGAUGCCUUUUGUUUCAGGCUUGUGCUGCUUUGACAGUGACUCUGUGUAUAGCCUGGACCACAUGAAGCCCAGUUUCUAUUUGGAUUACACAUACACAGGUGCAUGCACACACACUAUAGAAGUGCAUCUCAGAAAUGUACUCUUAAGGGGACAACGGAAAUGAUUCAUUGCACCAUGGAAAUGUAUUCAUUCAUCUGUUAAGCAGCCGUGUCUAUCUCACUGAUGGAUUAAGGUCCAGUCUUAUUCUGUAUGCUGACUCCUUCAUUCCCCCCUCCUUGGCAAAGCAUUUUACUUCAGCUAGCUUCAAAGGGUGUCACACCCAGGCUGCAGAAAUAAGUCUCCUCUCUGCUUUAAAUUUCACAAUGAACCCUGCUAUAGAAAUCAUAAAACGAGAUGCUUUUCUCAUCUGCUGCAGCCAGCCCCAAAGUGCAUCCAGCCAUAUCAAAUUAAAGCUGCUUACCGUGUCAGCUCUGGCUGAAACCAGUGCAGAAGCAUUGCUGAACUUCCUGGAACUUGUGGACAGAACAUCUGCCAAGGCAGCUGGAAGCUGAAGUACCAAGAAAAUU